RNAcentral lists this ribosomal RNA (497 nucleotides) under uncultured bacterium. Its description in RNAcentral is "partial 16S ribosomal RNA". It matches the Rfam family "Bacterial small subunit ribosomal RNA", at positions 28 to 507 of the family's 1533-position model. The record is from RNAcentral.
GAUGAACGCUGGCGGCGUGCCUAAUACAUGCAAGUCGAGCGAACGGACGAGAAGCUUGCUUUUCUGAUGUUAGCGGCGGACGGGUGAGUAACACGUGGAUAACCUACCUAUAAGACUGGGAUAACUUCGGGAAACCGGAGCUAAUACCGGAUAAUAUUUUGAACCGCAUGGUUCAAAAGUGAAAGACGGUCUUGCUGUCACUUAUAGAUGGAUCCGCGCUGCAUUAGCUAGUUGGUAAGGUAACGGCUUACCAAGGCAACGAUGCAUAGCCGACCUGAGAGGGUGAUCGGCCACACUGGAACGGAGACAGGGACCAGACUCCUACGGGAGGGAGCAGUAGGGAAUCUUCCGCAAUGGGCGAAAGCCUGACGGAGCAACGCCGCGUGAGAGAUGAAGGUCUUCGGAUCGUAAAACUCUGUUAUUAGGGAAGAACAGAUGUGUAAGGAACUGUGCACAUCUUGACGGUACCUAAUCAGAAAGCCACGGCUAACUACGUG